GAUAACCUCCAUUGAUUGAAAAAUUGUGAGUUCCACUCCUUUGCUUCAAUAGCAACGGCCACUUAGUCCAGCACAUCCCCUUUGUCAUAGAUCAGUAGAAGGCAAAAAUGGAUACACAUCUAUAUGGGCCUACUCCUAUCAUACUUUAUACAUAGCAACAAAUUGAGAUUACAUAUGGCUACAUAAUAAGAUUCCUUUGCAUCAUCGUGUUCUUACUUUGAAAUAUCGUAGCAGCAAAUUGAAAGAUUCUAAUGUGUUAGUUUUGGCACAAUGGGCUUCGGCCUCCUUGACAUCCAGCUGCCUAUUGGCAAGCAAUUUUUGAAUCAUCUCUGGUACACACCAUGCACAUAGUUAGCGUGAUUAUAGCAUUGUAGGCAACAAAAAGGAAUCCAUAUGUAAUCUGAAUCUUCACUGAACUUUUUAGGUUUGACCGUCCAGGACCUCGGUCACACAAAAUUUGACAGCUCAAACUUUUACCCUGACCAGUCUUCCAUCAUCCAUGGCAAAUCCAUGACAUACUUGGCUUCACAUUGAGAUGGUUCACCACCUUCAUCUCACACGACUUGUCACACUGCAUAUCCACAAACCAAUCCAGUUAAUGUUUGACGACUGAAAAAAAUUUAGAGUAAAUCGACAGAUGCAUGAAUAAAUCAACCGAUGCGUUGCAUCGGGAGAAAAAAAACAUCACAAACACACCACCAAGCUCUAGCACCUUCGCCUACAACAUGGCAAUCA
RNAcentral lists this long non-coding RNA (735 nucleotides) under Triticum aestivum (bread wheat). RNAcentral describes it as "long non-coding RNA (TAES_LNC024884)". The record is from RNAcentral. Lineage: Eukaryota; Viridiplantae; Streptophyta; Magnoliopsida; Poales; Poaceae.